UACGUAGGGUGCGAGCGUUGUCCGGAAUUAUUGGGCGUAAAGGGCUCGUAGGCGGUUUGUCGCGUCGGGAGUGAAAACCUUGGGCUUAACUCAGGGCUUGCUUUCGAUACGGGCAGACUAGAGGUAUGCAGGGGAGAACGGAAUUCCUGGUGUAGCGGUGAAAUGCGCAGAUAUCAGGAGGAACACCGGUGGCGAAGGCGGAUCUCUGGGCCUUACCUGACGCUGAGGCGCGAAAGCUAGGGGAGCGAACAGG
Molecule: ribosomal RNA, 253 nt
Filed under: uncultured bacterium
Lineage: Bacteria
Description: partial 16S ribosomal RNA
Rfam family: Bacterial small subunit ribosomal RNA
Source: RNAcentral